UACGGAGGGUGCAAGCGUUAUCCGGAUUCACUGGGUUUAAAGGGUGCGUAGGUGGGUUGGUAAGUCCGUGGUGAAAUCUCCGAGCUUAACUCGGAAACUGCCGUGGAUACUAUCAAUCUUGAAUAUCGUGGAGGUAAGCGGAAUAUGUCAUGUAGCGGUGAAAUGCUUAGAUAUGACAUAGAACACCGAUAGCGGAGGCAGCUUGCUACACGACCAUUGACACUGAGGCACGAAAGCGUGGGGAGCAAACAGG
Molecule: ribosomal RNA, 253 nt
Filed under: uncultured bacterium
Lineage: Bacteria
Description: partial 16S ribosomal RNA
Rfam family: Bacterial small subunit ribosomal RNA
Source: RNAcentral